RNAcentral lists this ribosomal RNA (1372 nucleotides) under uncultured bacterium. RNAcentral's name for it is "bacterial SSU rRNA". It matches the Rfam family "Bacterial small subunit ribosomal RNA", at positions 28 to 1381 of the family's 1533-position model. The record is from RNAcentral.
GAUGAACGCUGGCGGCGUGCCUAAUACAUGCAAGUCGAGCGAACGGACGAGAAGCUUGCUUCUCUGAUGUUAGCGGCGGACGGGUGAGUAACACGUGGAUAACCUACCUAUAAGACUGGGAUAACUUCGGGAAACCGGAGCUAAUACCGGAUAAUAUUUUGAACCGCAUGGUUCAAAAGUGAAAGACGGUCUUGCUGUCACUUAUAGAUGGAUCCGCGCUGCAUUAGCUAGUUGGUAAGGUAACGGCUUACCAAGGCAACGAUGCAUAGCCGACCUGAGAGGGUGAUCGGCCACACUGGAACUGAGACCCGGUCCAGACUCCUACGGGAGGCAGCAGUAGGGAAUCUUCCGCAAUGGGCGAAAGCCUGACGGAGCAACGCCGCGUGAGUGAUGAAGGUCUUCGGAUCGUAAAACUCUGUUAUUAGGGAAGAACAUAUGUGUAAGUAACUGUGCACAUCUUGACGGUACCUAAUCAGAAAGCCACGGCUAACUACGUGCCAGCAGCCGCGGUAAUACGUAGGUGGCAAGCGUUAUCCGGAAUUAUUGGGCGUAAAGCGCGCGUAGGCGGUUUUUUAAGUCUGAUGUGAAAGCCCACGGCUCAACCGUGGAGGGUCAUUGGAAACUGGAAAACUUGAGUGCAGAAGAGGAAAGUGGAAUUCCAUGUGUAGCGGUGAAAUGCGCAGAGAUAUGGAGGAACACCAGUGGCGAAGGCGACUUUCUGGUCUGUAACUGACGCUGAUGUGCGAAAGCGUGGGGAUCAAACAGGAUUAGAUACCCUGGUAGUCCACGCCGUAAACGAUGAGUGCUAAGUGUUAGGGGGUUUCCGCCCCUUAGUGCUGCAGCUAACGCAUUAAGCACUCCGCCUGGGGAGUACGACCGCAAGGUUGAAACUCAAAGGAAUUGACGGGGACCCGCACAAGCGGUGGAGCAUGUGGUUUAAUUCGAAGCAACGCGAAGAACCUUACCAAAUCUUGACAUCCUUUGACAACUCUAGAGAUAGAGCUUUCCCCUUCGGGGGACAAAGUGACAGGUGGUGCAUGGUUGUCGUCAGCUCGUGUCGUGAGAUGUUGGGUUAAGUCCCGCAACGAGCGCAACCCUUAAGCUUAGUUGCCAUCAUUAAGUUGGGCACUCUAAGUUGACUGCCGGUGACAAACCGGAGGAAGGUGGGGAUGACGUCAAAUCAUCAUGCCCCUUAUGAUUUGGGCUACACACGUGCUACAAUGGACAAUACAAAGGGCAGCGAAACCGCGAGGUCAAGCAAAUCCCAUAAAGUUGUUCUCAGUUCGGAUUGUAGUCUGCAACUCGACUACAUGAAGCUGGAAUCGCUAGUAAUCGUAGAUCAGCAUGCUACGGUGAAUACGUUCCCGGGUCU